Artibeus jamaicensis (Jamaican fruit-eating bat) is the source of this 468-nucleotide long non-coding RNA. RefSeq lists it as uncharacterized. Lineage: Eukaryota; Metazoa; Chordata; Mammalia; Chiroptera; Phyllostomidae. The record is from RefSeq and is a predicted model, not a curated record. The transcript is spliced from 4 exons.
CACAGACCUCUCACAUUUAAAACAUUCGAAACUGAACUUGUCAUACACACUUCAACCUCCAUCGCUAAGCACUCCUCCUCUCAUGUGCCUUAUAUUGGUUUUUGGUACCAUCUUCCAUCACUUCUGAACUGAGAUCUGAGAAUGGUGUGGAAAUCUCUCUCUCAAUCCAUCACUCUCUGUUGUGCAACAGACCAACACUUGAUGCUACAUUGAUAGGGGGAACUAGGAAGCAGAAUUGAAGCGAAUGCAUUGGAGAGAAGCUACAUAGGAGAAAUAACAGAGAAUAAUACAGGAGUUAUCAAAUCGCUCAGCAGCAGCAUAUUUCAGUAAGCACCAGCAAAAACAUAUUUCCCGAAGGUAGCACAAAGCAACAAAAUUUCCUUCUGAUAUUCUUCCUGGAACCAUCUUGCCCAACCUUCCAUUCUACCUGGGAUCAUAAGAUCAAUGGGCAUAUUUUAAAUGUUUCCG